RNAcentral lists this ribosomal RNA (567 nucleotides) under marine sediment bacterium BB0608_AND_3.2_6G0. Its description in RNAcentral is "bacterial SSU rRNA". It matches the Rfam family "Bacterial small subunit ribosomal RNA", at positions 104 to 667 of the family's 1533-position model. The record is from RNAcentral.
GGGUGAGUAAUACAUCGGAACGUGCCCAGUAAUGGGGGAUAGCUCGGCGAAAGCCGGAUUAAUACCGCAUACGCCCUGAGGGGGAAAGUGGGGGACCGCAAGGCCUCACGUUAUUGGAGCGGCCGAUGGCUGAUUAGCUAGUUGGUAGGGUAAAGGCCUACCAAGGCGACGAUCAGUAGCUGGUCUGAGAGGACGAUCAGCCACACUGGGACUGAGACACGGCCCAGACUCCUACGGGAGGCAGCAGUGGGGAAUUUUGGACAAUGGGGGAAACCCUGAUCCAGCAAUGCCGCGUGUGCGAAGAAGGCCUUCGGGUUGUAAAGCACUUUUGUCAGGGAAGAAAUCCUUUGGGCUAAUACCCUAGGGGGAUGACGGUACCUGAAGAAUAAGCACCGGCUAACUACGUGCCAGCAGCCGCGGUAAUACGUAGGGUGCAAGCGUUAAUCGGAAUUACUGGGCGUAAAGCGUGCGCAGGCGGUUGUGUAAGACAGGUGUGAAAUCCCCGGGCUUAACCUGGGAAUUGCAUUUGUGACUGCACGACUAGAGUGUGUCAGAGGGGGGUGGAAU